Molecule: unclassified non-coding RNA, 663 nt
Filed under: Hevea brasiliensis (rubber tree)
Lineage: Eukaryota; Viridiplantae; Streptophyta; Magnoliopsida; Malpighiales; Euphorbiaceae
Source: RNAcentral
AGCUGCCCAAAAAUCAGCUUGCUGCGGAUCAUAAGAUCAAAUUAUUUUUUAACGGGCAUUACGUGCAGGUGACACUUAUGUCUGAAAAAAGACGUACAAAAAACUAGUUCUGAUGACAGGAUGAUGGGUGUUUGUAAUUUUUUUUUUCUUUCGUCAUUCUUUUUGAAUCUUGUUUUAGUGGGUAAGGUAGCUUAUUGUUAUAGAUUACAUUUUGUGGUAAAAAAAUUGUGCAUCUUGUGGCACACUUAUUUUCCCCUUGUUCGGUGUCUCAUUUCUUCUUUCUUUGUGACGUACUAGAGACCUUGUUAGAGUUUCUUUGUAAUGUAGAAAGACAAUUAUAAAUGGCUUUUUAAGUAGAAUAUUUAAAAAAUUGCACUGUAGAAAACCUCGGUUCUUUCAGGUUCAAGAUGUACUCAUAUCACAUCAUAUCAGAUCAUAUGGGGGCAGGGACUGAAUCGUAUAUGUCACGUAUAUGGGCAUGUAUAUGUCAGACACUGAAGGUGGCUUCUGGUGAGAGGUUCACGUUGGAGGUUACUUCAGAAUUCCCCAUUUAGCAUCGUUCUGUUCUUAAAAUGUUUGGCCGUGAAGUCUGUUAUUUUAGGACCCACUGGUUGUAGAUUUUGUCGUCGCGUACAAGCUGAGCGUCCUCUUUUUGCACUAUAA